CACACUUAUUCACAUUCAUAUUCAGAUCUCUCUCUUCAUCAAAUCUCUCUCUCAUCAUUAUCUUUUUUUCCCACCACACCACCAUCACCACCGCACCACCACCAUCAUCACCACCAUCAAUAUUGUACCUCCGGCACCACCGUAAACACCUCCAACCCUGUUGCUCAACCCCCACCACCGUUGCACCUUUACCACCGUCGGCCGACCCCCGCUGCACAACCCCCACCACUGCCCCUCCAAAAUACCCUAGUGAGUCAAGAAGAUGAUGAAACAGCAGAAUGUGAUUCUGAAGAUGAUUUGAGUUCUGCAUCUGAUCUUCAUGCAACUACUGUUAAUUCUUGCUCUGAGAAUAAAGGUCAAGAAAAUGGAAGCAGUUAUAAUCCAAAUUAUCAAAAUUACUUUGCUCAUCCUCCUCCAAAUCAAACUCAACCACUAAUCAAGAAAAAAAGAAGUCUUCCAGGCAACCCAGGCUGGUGAUGGAUUCAAGGGAAAUAAGAUCCAAUUCUCGGGACCGUUGGAAAGCUAAGGCAACAAAGGUAGCCGCUGAAAAGCUAAGGCAGACUUUCAAAGGAAGCUCCACCAUUUUCUUAGUGCUAUGUAUUUUUGUUUACUAGUAAUAUGUAAUGUGAGACUCUUCUUGUUUUCUCUAGUACACGAUGUUAAAACCGUCUAGACUUAACACAUUUUCUGUUGGAGGCGCCCAUAUUUGUACCUUUACUGUUACAGUUACUAUUGAAGUUUAUGCAUCCAUUCUAGAAGUCUUAA
Long non-coding RNA from Helianthus annuus (common sunflower), 765 nucleotides. RefSeq lists it as uncharacterized. The record is from RefSeq and is a predicted model, not a curated record. The transcript is spliced from 2 exons. Lineage: Eukaryota; Viridiplantae; Streptophyta; Magnoliopsida; Asterales; Asteraceae.